UGAGGAAUGCCAGAGGUGA
This 19-nucleotide non-coding RNA is filed under the name Rattus norvegicus (Norway rat). Lineage: Eukaryota; Metazoa; Chordata; Mammalia; Rodentia; Muridae. The record is from RNAcentral.